Molecule: ribosomal RNA, 1573 nt
Filed under: Treponema sp. Marseille-Q3903
Lineage: Bacteria; Pseudomonadati; Spirochaetota; Spirochaetia; Treponematales; Treponemataceae
Description: bacterial SSU rRNA
Rfam family: Bacterial small subunit ribosomal RNA
Source: RNAcentral
UUAGUCCUUCGGGACUUAGAAAUAAUCAUGGAGAGUUUGAUCCUGGCUCAGAACGAACGCUGGCGGCGCGUCUUAAGCAUGCAAGUCGAAUGGCAAGAUUGGUGCUUGCACUGAUCCUAGAAUGGCGGACUGGUGAGUAACGCGUGGGUGACGUACCCUUUGGACGGGGAUAGCUGCUAGAAAUAGCAGAUAAUACCGGAUAAGGUGGCCUGUGUCAGAGGCAGGUCAGGAAAGGAACAUUUGUUCCGCCGAAGGAACGGCUCGCGAGCUAUUAGCUAGUUGGUGAGGUAACGGCCCACCAAGGCGAUGAUAGCUACCCGGCCUAAGAGGGUGAACGGGCACAUUGGGACUGAGAUACGGCCCAGACUCCUACGGGAGGCAGCAGCUAAGAAUAUUCCGCAAUGGACGAAAGUCUGACGGAGCGACGCCGCGUGGAUGAUGAAGGUCGGAAGAUUGUAAAAUCCUUUUAUGACUGAAGAAUAAGUAUGGUGAGAGAAACGCCGUAUGGUGACAGUAGGUCAUGAAUAAGCAACGGCUAAUUACGUGCCAGCAGCCGCGGUAACACGUAAGUUGCGAGCGUUGUUCGGAAUUAUUGGGCGUAAAGGGCAUGCAGGCGGAAUUGCAAGCUUGGUGUGAAAUACCGGGGCUUAACUCCGGAAUAGCAUUGAGAACUGCAAAACUAGAGUCACUGAGGGGCAAUCAGAAUUCCAGGUGUAGGGGUGAAAUCUGUAGAUAUCUGGAAGAAUACCAAUGGCGAAGGCAGGUUACCAGCAGAUGACUGACGCUGAGGUGCGAAGGUGCGGGGAGCAAACAGGAUUAGAGACCCUGGUAGUCCGCACAGUCAACUAUGUGCACUAGAUGUCUGGUCGACAGACCGGGUGUCGAAGCAAACGCGAUAAGUGCACCGCCUGGGGAGUAUGCCCGCAAGGGUGAAACUCAAAGGAAUUGACGGGGGCCCGCACAAGCGGUGGAGCAUGUGGUUUAAUUCGAUGGUACGCGAGGAACCUUACCUGGGUUUGACAUACACAGGAAUUAUAUAGAGAUAUGUAAGCGCAGCAAUGCGCCUGUGAACAGGUGCUGCAUGGCUGUCGUCAGCUCGUGCCGUGAGGUGUUGGGUUAAGUCCCGCAACGAGCGCAACCCCUGCUGCCAGUUACUAACACGUAAAGGUGAGGACUCUGGCGGAACUGCCGGUGACAAACCGGAGGAAGGCGGGGAUGACGUCAAGUCAUCAUGGCCCUUAUGUCCAGGGCUACACACGUGCUACAAUGGGAGAUACAGAGUGAAGCGAAGCAGCGAUGCGGAGCAAAACGCAGAAAACCUCUCGUAGUCCGGAUUGGAGUCUGAAACUCGACUCCAUGAAGUUGGAAUCGCUAGUAAUCGCACAUCAGCACGGUGCGGUGAAUACGUUCCCGGGCCUUGUACACACCGCCCGUCACACCAUCCGAGUAGAUUCUACCCGAAGCCGGCAGUCUAACCGCAAGGAGGACGCUGUCGAAGGUAGGAUUUGUGAGGGGGGUGAAGUCGUAACAAGGUAGUCGUACCGGAAGGUGCGGCUGGAUCACCUCCUUUUUA